RNAcentral lists this ribosomal RNA (381 nucleotides) under uncultured bacterium. Its description in RNAcentral is "bacterial SSU rRNA". It matches the Rfam family "Bacterial small subunit ribosomal RNA", at positions 355 to 753 of the family's 1533-position model. The record is from RNAcentral.
UGGGGAAUCUUGGACAAUGGGGGCAACCCUGAUCCAGCGAUGCCGCGUGAGCGAAGAAGGCCUUAGGGUUGUAAAGCUCUUUCGCCCGCGACGAUGAUGACGGUAGCGGGAGAAGAAGCCCCGGCUAACUCCGUGCCAGCAGCCGCGGUAAUACGGAGGGGGCUAGCGUUGUCCGGAAUUACUGGGCGUAAAGCGCGCGUAGGCGGUCCACCAAGUCGGGGGUGAAAGCCCGGGGCUCAACCCCGGAAUGUCCUCCGAUCAUGUUGGACUAGAGUGCGGGAGAGGAGAGCGGAAUUCCCAGUGUAGAGGUGAAAUUCGUAGAUUUUGGGAAGAACACCGGUGGCGAAGGCGGCCAGCUGGACGGACACUGGCGCUGAGGCG